UCCACCUACAAAUGAGAGUUGGCAGUCUGAUUUUUAUGCUUUGGGUUAAAACGGAGCAUAUUGUGUUGUUGGAGUCGAUUAAUAUUGAGCUGCAUUAUUCUAGCUUGUAGUGUUCUACCUUCUGCAGAAUUUUGAAAACGGCAGAGAGAACGAGACAUGUUGUAAAUGUAGGAAAUACAAAAACAACGCAGCAGUCCAAUCACAGGGCUUGAGGUUGCAUCAUUUCAACAUGUAUCAAAAAGAAGGUGCACGCCAGGCUACAUAUGAAGGCAUCUCAGUUGGUACAGGACUAAGAGAACCUAUAGUGUAUCUCACAGCACAGAUUUGACACAGAUGUAUAAAUCAGGCUGAAGAUAGUUCAGGUCUCAGGGCGCUGAUGGCCUAGCGGUUAGGUUGUGCCCCAUGUAUGAAGACCAGUCCUACAAGCAGGUGGGCCCAGGUUAAAGUCUGACCUGCAUCAUGUCAUUCCCCUGCUUGCUCUCUCCUGAUAUUUCACUCUGUCCACUGUUCUCUCUCAAAAGCCCAAAAAGAAAUCUUCGGUCCAGGUCUCCAUGCACUGCUGACAAGUUGAGUUGACACUCGUGGUCUCAAAAUAAUGAACACCAACACUCACUAACAAGUACAACUUCUCACUUUGAGUGCAUCCUCCACGACUUACCGGUCAGCCCUUACCUUGGUGUCUCCAGGACGUCCGAGGCACAGCGUGGGGUCCAUGGGUGGACACCUCCAGGAGCAGCCCCAGAAACACUCCCAGCACGCCAAACCCCAUGUUAGACUCUGGUAACUUCGGAACUGUGAAGUUUCCUCUGUGAGACAAAAAAAAAAAAAA
Labrus bergylta (ballan wrasse) is the source of this 829-nucleotide non-coding RNA. The record is from RefSeq and is a predicted model, not a curated record. NCBI's taxonomy places the organism in Eukaryota, Metazoa, Chordata, Actinopteri, Labriformes, Labridae.